GGUCAGAUUCUGCGCAACGCGAGACUUCUGAACUCCGUCAGGACCGGAAGGUAGCAGCGGUAGGAAUGUUUUCGUGUGUGCCGCGGAGCCUCUGAUCGGA
This 100-nucleotide signal recognition particle RNA is filed under the name Gemmatimonadota bacterium. Its description in RNAcentral is "Gemmatimonadetes bacterium signal recognition particle sRNA small type". It matches the Rfam family "Bacterial small signal recognition particle RNA". From Rfam's summary of the family: The signal recognition particle (SRP) is a universally conserved ribonucleoprotein involved in the co-translational targeting of proteins to membranes. The record is from RNAcentral. Lineage: Bacteria; Pseudomonadati; Gemmatimonadota.